GACGAACGCUGGCGGCGCGCUUAACACAUGCAAGUCGAACGGAAAGGCCUGCUUUCCCUUGUGGAUUGCGGGUACUCGAGUGGCGAACGGGUGAGUAACACGUGAGUGAUCUGCCCCCAACUUGGGUAUAAGCCUGGGAAACUGGGUCUAAUUCCCGAUCGGACUGCAGGGUGGUGCCUGUGGUGGAAAACGAUUUUCUAGUGGUUGGGGAUGAGCUCGCGGCCUAUCAGCUUGUUGGUGGGGUAAUGGCCUACCAAGGCGGCGACGGGUAGCCGGCCUGAGAGGGUGGACGGCCACAUUGGGACUGAGAUACGGCCCAGACUCCUACGGGAGGCAGCAGGGGGGAAUAUUGCACAAUGGGCGGAAGCCUGAGGCAGCGACGCCGCGUGGGGGAUGACGGCCUUCGGGUUGUAAACUCCUUUCGACCGCGAGGAAGCCACCUGGUUGGAAGGGUGGUGACGGUAGUGGUAGAAGAAGCACCGGCUAACUACGUG
This 494-nucleotide ribosomal RNA is filed under the name uncultured bacterium. Its description in RNAcentral is "partial 16S ribosomal RNA". It matches the Rfam family "Bacterial small subunit ribosomal RNA", at positions 28 to 507 of the family's 1533-position model. The record is from RNAcentral.